UAGAACUAUUUUAUUAAAAAAUUUAUUUUGUUAAGUGUAAAUCUUUAAAACAUUUAAUAAAGUUCCGUUAAUAAAGUUCCGCUAAUACGUGAAGUUCGUCUUCAUUUUCGCAUGCUUCUGUUGCGUAAAUUUCAUUUCCGACCUUUGAAAUCAUUAAUUCGGGAAUGUUAAAGUCUUUACAACAAAUCUUUCGGCUCAUUAAAUAAGAUUUUAUUCUAAUGACUGCAUCUAAUACUUGGUUUGACAUUCUGUUUCUCUGUUUACUUUUCACAUAGGUGACCUGUGAAAAGACUCUCUCAACAAAACAGUUAGAAAUAGGAACACACAGACUAGUCGGAAAUGUUGCGAAAAACGGGAUGUCCAAAAAUGUCGACAUAGUCCCUUAAAGCUAUCCAGAAUUCAACAGUAUUUUUAGGAACUUCUUUUUCUUUAAAAAUGGCAGACUCAGUCCAUUCAACGGUACUCACUUUUCUGUAUUGGUUUUCAAUUUCUUGACUUUUUGUACCCAUUAAGUGAGGAAAAGGUAGAUUUGAAAACAGAACCUUUUUCAACUUGGGAAAGAACUUUCAUUGGAGACAGAUUUGACAAGCCGUGAAAAAUUGAUCUGUUAUGUGGUAGUCUUUUUUCAAGCUCGGUUAUAGCCUUUUGAAGAAAAUCAUGACAGCGAUUUUUUAAAUUUCUGCCUGAUUCUUCAGCAUUCAGUUUUGCAUUUGGAGGUUGCUCUUGAAAGUAAAUCUGGCACUAUGAAGAGAAUUUGACUCCAAAAUCAAAACACUGUAGAGAAAGUACAAAGCCCUUGGUAUCAAAAACACGCUGCUUUAAGCUUUUAAGAUGCAUAUUUAGCUCACUCAUUAGAUCUUCUGGAUCAACAUUUAACUUUUGAAAGAAAGAGUUUAGACGCUCAAACGCUUGAAUGAAUGGAGUGAGAAAAACAACAUAGAGAUAAAGGGUGCUGUCUUGGAACAUUUUGCUUAUUGAAGAGAUUUUGUAACGGACAUCAGAGUUAGCAUUCAUUUCAGCACAAAUAAAGAAUGCUUUUAGUUCUUGCCAAUUUACAAGCAAGUUAUAAAAACACUUUCCUCGAACCAACCAACGAGUUGCAGAAAACUUUUGAAAAGGGGAUGGGGUUCCCACGCGUUCAUUGUUUGGAUUCAUGAGUUCAAAUAGUUUUUCAUAUUCGUUUCGACAAAGAAUGCUCUUGUUAAAAAACCGGGGUACCUCGCUCAGAAGAAAGCCGACUGGAAAUGGAAUUUCAUUAAAAGCAUUUUACACCACAAGAUUUAGUGAGUGACAAAUGCACCUCAUCAUAAUACAGUUAGGCGAUUUAGUUAGUACACAAGACCAGGCUGAGUUAUGUAUGACAAUAACAUUUGAGGCACCAUCUGAGAUGUAUCCUUUAAAAAGAUCUUCGCCAGUUGUUGAAAUCACUUGAAUGUGGCCAAGAAAGUCAUCGACAAUCUGUUUCUCUUUUUCUGAAAAAUAUCUCACGCAUAUUGCAAGGUGCUUCAUUGAACUCACAUUCGUUGAUUCAUCAAUGAGAAUGGAAAACGGUUUUGAUUUGAUUUCUUUAGAUAUUUCUUCUUCGAGAGUCGAUGAGAUGACAUUUUAGAUUACUUUAGUACACUUAGUACGGUGGAGUUUCAGAUGUUCCAGGGGACUGCUUACACUAAGCUUAGAAAUAAUUUCACACAAAUGGUCAGCGGUUGGAAUUGCUGAGUGACAGCAGAUACACAUAGCCAGCUGAAUGUUUGCUUUUUUGUUUGCACCUGAAAUAUUUCCUAGACCCGGAAAAUUAAUCUUCUUUUGAAAUGGAUUCAAUAUUGUUUCUCUUUUGAUGUGUGAGACUGCUUUUUGAUGUUGCUCCAAGCUACCUUUGUGUGGACGUAGAUUAGUGCGGCAAAGGCGACAAAUAGCUUGUUCAAAUGCAUCAGAGCUUUUUUUUACCCAGGUAAAUUUUUUUUCCCACUCACUUCGAUAACUAAGAGAGUUUUCAUAUGAUUUUUUGUUUGGCAUAGUCAAUUUAAAGAUGCUAAUCUAAAAUAAAAAAUCAAGUAUAAGCUACAGGUUAUUAAACUUAAUAACCAAUAGGUUUGAUCAAUUUUAAAAUUAGAUAUUUUAAGAAGAAAGCAAAAAUUAAUUAGUUGUUAUUUGAAUAGUAACAGUUACUAAAUUUUCAAUAUCCGUAGAAACAUUAUUUAAAAACUAUGGCAUAUAAAAUUCGCCGAAUGGUCACACACGAGCAGUGAACACCCGAGGGAAGAAAUGAAGUAUAUUAGAAUAAAGAAGAAUUAUUUAUCGAACGAAGAAUAUUUUGACAGUUGUCAAGACAAAAAUAAAGAUUAAUAGAGGAAAAUUUCAAAACAAAUAAGACAGACAACGAAUCAAAACAGUACUCACUAUAAUAAUAACAAAAAAAAAACAAAACAAAAAAAAAUUGUUUCAUAAAAAUUAAUACAAACGAAGAUAUACAACAAAUAUAUAACCAAACAAAAAUUUAAAAAACCAAAAAAUUGAUAAACAAAAAACUAAAAAACCAAAAAAUUAAUAAACAAAAACAAAAAAUAUACAUAUAACAAUGUAAGGCCUCAGCCGCCGUAUUCACAGCUCUCCGUUAUACUAACGGAGAAUUUGAGUGUACGUUAAGAAAAAUACUUUUAACGGCCGGUUAUAAAACGGAUGAAAGUUAAUGGUAUUCUAAUCAUUCCGUUUAGACUCCGUUUAUUAACUACUCCGAUAAUUUUCUUAGUUAAAGUUUCUUCGUUAGCGAGCUCUGUUAACUAGUUUUCGUGAUGUUUUUUUCAUGGCAUUUAAGCGUUGCGAUGCCAACAGACAAUAAAGCUGUUUAAUUGGAAAAUCGCAGCCGUUGAUUUUUUUAUUAUUAACUGCAGCGUAAAUUUUAAAAAAUUUAAUUAAAACACGUUACAAUAUAAAAAAACUUUUAUAAUUUAUGACAUAGAAAAUAUUAAAACAACUUAUUGUCCAAAAUGUCGCAAAACAAAAUUAUCACGAAAUCGAAAGUUAUUUUCAGCAACUAUGUCUUCAUUAUUAUUUUCAUAAUUUUCAAUUGGAUAGUCAUCUAUGUCCACAUCAUUUAACUCUAUUGUUAAAAUUUGCAAUACAGCACACGCAGCAAUUAUGGUGCAGGUUCUUUCUGGGGUCAUUCGAACCUCUCCAUGAAGCAAAUAAAACCGUCUUCUCCACCUUCCAAACACUUGUUCAAAUAAAACUCUUAUUUUUCUUAAAGAUAUAUUAUACCGACGCUGAGCUGCUGUAGUUGGACUUACGGCGUAACCAACCAACGAAAACAUGAAUAUCCGGAAUCGCCAAGUAAUAAACCUUUAAGAGUGCCAUCUAUCAUUUUUUUACCAAGCUUUGAUUCUCUUAAAAUUCUUGCGUUAUGUGUGCUUCCAGGCCAUUUUGCAACAAUAUCAAUGAACUUUCCGUUAUAAUCACACACCGCUUGAACAUUGAUCGAAUGAUUUGAUGAUCUAUUGGCAUAAACAUAUUCGUGCUCGCGUGGUUUUUGUAUGCAAACGUGCGUGCCGUCUAUUAAUCCAGUUUCUUCUUGGAAAUUCUGCAACAAUCUAAAAAUUUACUCUGCUCUCAUUUAAAACGUGUGGAUCAGUUGGGUACUUAAUGUAUUCAUUAACUCUUUUUGCAAGACUCAAAAAAACUUGGAGAAUAAUUCUAGAAAUAGUUGGUUGACUUAAAGCUGCUGUAGAAUCACCAAUCACAAUCUGGAAAGAUCCUGUUGCAUAAAAUCGAAGUGCGCUUAAUACUUGAUAGAUUGGCGCAACACAAAAACUUUGAUUUGACUUUGAUUGUAAAUCUGUUUUCAGCAAAUUUUCCUAAUAAAAAAUAAAAGCUCGACGAAACCUAAACCUUUGAUAUAAGUCAACAUCAUCAUAAAUAUCAAGUGGGUUGGUUCGGUCUCUAAAUAACCUUUCACGCCUAAGACCUCGCCGGACUGUUAUUUCUUGACGUCUUACUUCUGCGAAAACUAAAUGCAUACGAACGAGUCGAGGCAUUGUCUUUGAAUAUUUUCAAUUCUUACUACUUUCAGUUUUAUUUUUAUUUAGACCAUUUACGUGUUAUUGCGACACAGACUCGUUACAAAAAACAAUUUCCUGGCAAUGUUUCAAAAAUACCAUCAAUAGUAAUUAACACUUGUUACCCUAGGGAAUCUUUAAAAUGUUUCACUAUUCAUUAAAAAUAAGUCUAGACUAAAGUAUAAAACACUUAAUACUUUAUUUUAAUGACAUUACAAAUUUAUUACAUACUGUUUAAAAAUAUUUAUUUUAUUCAUACAAUUAUUAGUAUCGUAUAUAUAAGUUAUUAGUAUAUUAUAUACAGAUUAUAAGUAAGACAUUUUUUUUAAAACAUUGGCAGUAUCAACUAUAAAAGUUGAGAAAAAACGUGCAGCCAGAGGAAAAGUAUAUGUCUCAGAAGAGAAAUGGUUGGUAAUUUGAAAGUUUGAAGAACAUAAAGAUGUUCUUUUGUCUAAAGAUGGAAAGGCGGAGAUAAAUAAACGAAGAAAUCGUAUAAUGAGAUCACCGAUGCUGUAAACAGCUUAGGAUUUGAUAAAAGAACAGUUACCAUAGUUACCAGUGUGAAAGGUUUGUGGGAUAAUCUUCUUAAAAAUGCCAAAAAAGAGAUUUCAUCAACAAAAAAAACUCCGACGGGGGGAGGACCAGCUGUAAUAUUAACAAAAAUCAGCCAGAAAAUAUUGGAUAUAUACGGAGAAAAUUCUCCAAUAUUUUUUGGUUUGGAAGGGGUGGAAACCAAUAGCAUCGAUUUUGUUUGCAAUAUACAGAAUAGUGUUAAUCCAGUUGUGAUUAAUGCUACACACUGCAAUUACAUCAAAAAAUAGGAACUAAGACAACUCAGGACAAACUAAACGAUCUACAAGCAAAAUGAUGAUAUGUUAAAAAAUGACCAAAAUUUGUCUGGAAAAAAAAACAACUCACUUUAGCUCUCCACCAGCCAACUGUUGAUAUGGAGAGUUACUUAACUGAGGAGAAAUUUAAAUUUAGGGAAGAAGUGCUAAAGCUACAGGCUGAAUUUCUAAAAAGGAGUUAGUGGAGUUAGAAAAAAGAGUAAGCAAUAAAAAAAUAUAUACAAUAAAUAACACAAUAAAUGAUUAUACAAUUAUUUAAAAAAAUCAACAGUAUUAUUAUUAAUAAAAGACUACUUUAAAAAAGUAAAACUUUUUAAUGAAAGUUCUUAUAAAAUAUUUCAUUAUUAUGAAUAGAAAAACAAGUAUACUGAAUGCUCACUGGCUAACACCGGCAAAUUCCCCCCCCCCCCCCCCCGCCUUAAACUAUGUAACGGAAGUAAAAAUACAUACCUCCACUGCACGAUAAAAUAGGGUGUCUGGGCAUAAAUAUUUUUUAAUGAAAUUUGGCAGGCACAUAGAAAAUAGAUUUAUACUGUUGACUGGAAAAUUGUAAAAGUGUAGCAACAUGCCUUCAACAUUAAAUUACCUCCAGAACAGAAACGAAAUUUCAAAAUUUUAUAAAAAUCACUGGUAAAUGUAAAGAAAACAAAGGAAUUUAUUUCAAGAAGUAACAGUAACAGUAACAGAAACAGUUUAAUAAAGUGUAACAGUAACAGUAAUUGUAAAAAAGGUGGAAAAUGUACCUCCACUAGGUGGAAAAAUAGGGUAUUUGGGCAUAAAUUUUUUUUAAUGAAAUUUGGCAGGCACAUAGAAAAUAGAUUUAUACUGUUGACUGGAAAAUUUUAAAAGUGUAGCAACAUGCCUUCAAUAUCAAUGCACUUCCAGAACACAAACAAAAUUUUAAAUAGCAAUAAAAUCACUAAAAAACUUAAUACUUGAAAAAAAAAAAAACAUAAUUUAUUCAACAUAAAACAUUCUACUUUUUUAAAAAAAUCUAAGCUGAUAUAAAAUUCUAAAAAAAAAGACAAAUAAAUACAUCCUUACCACACCGACUUCGAGCAUGCUGUGAAAAAAAAGGUCACAGUUUUUAACUUAUAAAUCGGUGCCGUAAAAAACCAGAUACGCACGUACCUACAACAGUUUCUAUAAUUAAUAAAGGCAAAUUUGAUAUUAUUCAACACGCAGCUUCAAGAAAGCAUAAAAAAUGUUCAUCAGUUUCUACAACUCAAAAAGAGACUUUUUUCGCUGUAAGGAUUGAACUACUUAUAAAGCAAAACUUACCCUUGAACUUCUAUGGUCAUACCAUAACGUAAAGCACGAUCAUUCUUUUAGGGAUAUGGACUGCACAUCAAAUUUAUUGAGAAAAUCUUGUGAUUAUAAGUUUGCGUGUGGAAGAACCAAGUCAGAGUGUCUUGUAAAUAAUAUAAUUUUAAAUUGGUCUGAAGAUUUGUUAAACAAAGACUUGAAGAACACAAAAUUUGUUGUUGUCGCAUGUGAUACAUCGAACCACAAAAAUACGAAACUUCUAGUAAGAUACUGUAGUAAGAUACUGUGUUGUUAAACCUGCUAUUGAAAUUAAGUAUAGUAUUUUGAAAGUUCAUAAUCUUCCAAAUGAAACAGCAGAAACAAUAACAAAAGUUGUUUUAGAAGAUAUAAAUUUUUACAAUAUACGUGAUAAAAUAAUUGGAUUUUCAGCAGAUAAUGCAGCAGUUAACUUUGGUGCUUUAUCAAGUAAAAAAACUGAAAAUAAUAUGUAUUCAAAGCUUGAAAAGGAUUUAAAGGGAGAAAUUUUAACAAUAGGCUGCGCUGCUCAUAGAGUGCAUAAUGCCCUAUCUGCAGCUACUUCAAAGAUAAUUCUAAAAUAAAAUGUUUAAAAUAUAUCAUCAUUUUAAUAUAUUUACUCUUCGAACAGAAACGUUGAAAGAAUUUUGUGUCUUCAUUGGAUGCCAAUUUAAAAUGGUUCUAUCACAUUCAAAAACACGAUGGCUAUCUUUAUCGCCAUGCAUAGACAGAAUACUUAGAAUGUAUGAACCUUUGAAGUCAUAUUUUCUAAGUGAGGAAAAUUCACCACUUGCAAUUUUUAAUUUUUUUAAUUCUGGAUCUUCUGAAUUUUGGUUACUUUUCCUUUAACCCCAAUUUCAUUUGUUUGGUGAGACUGUGAAAAAGAUAGAAGGAAACGAUAAAAGUGCAGUGGAAGUAUCAGCUGAGUUUUACAAACUAUUAGCUAAUUAUGAAAAUAGAAUUGAAAGCAGAUUUAUACCAUUUAUGGCAGAUAAUCUUUUAAAAAAACUAGAAGCAGGAGGAAUAUUAGAUAGAGAUCAUUUUAUUUCUAUUGUAGUGAAAUUUUAUAGCACAAUAAUUUAUUAUUUAAAAAAGUGGUCUGGUAGAUUUUGCAAUGAAGCAAGGAAUAUGUAAUACCUUUUGUUAAAGGAAAAAUUUUCAUAUGAGGAUUUUAAAGAAAUGUACAUUUAUUUCCUUAAUAAAACUAAAUCAUUACCUAUUUCUGUCAUAGAUGAUAAUGAAAUUUUUGACUCUUAUUGUUUUAUCAAAGCUUGUUUAGAUAUAAAUCUGGAAAACUGGGAAGCUGAAUCUGUUCCUAUGUUUUCUAGAUGGAAAAUUGUUUUAGAAGGUUUAAAUAAUGGCAAUGCUGUAGUAAAGCUUCAACUGCUGGAAAUGCUUGCUGCAUUUUUAUUUACUGUUCCAGGGACUAAUGCAGAAUGUGAACGCUUGUUUAGUUUAGUGGGUCAAUAUUGGACAAAAGACAAGCCAUUUAAAAAUUAGUACAUGCGAUCAAUUUUACGAAGAAAUAAAAAGAAACAAACAUUUGUUACAAAAAGCAAAAUAUUCUGAAAAGUAUCUAUAAAUGAUUUUUAUAUAAUAUAUCAUAGAUUGUAUUGGCUAUACAUACACCCUUGUGUUUUCAACCUUUUUCGAUGUAUAAUAUACAGAGAUUUUACUUGUG
Molecule: non-coding RNA, 7859 nt
Organism: Hydra vulgaris (swiftwater hydra)
Lineage: Eukaryota; Metazoa; Cnidaria; Hydrozoa; Anthoathecata; Hydridae
Source: RefSeq, a predicted model, not a curated record